RNAcentral lists this ribosomal RNA (461 nucleotides) under uncultured bacterium. RNAcentral's name for it is "bacterial SSU rRNA". It matches the Rfam family "Bacterial small subunit ribosomal RNA", at positions 340 to 793 of the family's 1533-position model. The record is from RNAcentral.
UACGGGAGGCAGCAGUGGGGAAUAUUGCACAAUGGGCGCAAGCCUGAUGCAGCCAUGCCGCGUGUAUGAAGAAGGCCUUCGGGUUGUAAAGUACUUUCAGCAGUGAGGAAGGUGGGUAUGUUAAUAGCAUAUUCAUUUGACGUUUAGCUGCAGAAGAAGCACCGGCUAACUCCGUGCCAGCAGCCGCGGUAAUACGGAGGGUGCGAGCGUUAAUCGGAAUUACUGGGCGUAAAGCGCAUGCAGGUGGUUUGUUAAGUCAGAUGUGAAAGCCCGGGGCUCAACCUCGGAAUUGCAUUUGAAACUGGCAAACUAGAGUACUGUAGAGGGGGUAGAAUUUCAGGUGUAGCGGUGAAAUGCGUAGAGAUCUGAAGGAAUACCGGUGGCGAAGGCGGCCCCCUGGACAGAUACUGACACUCAGAUGCGAAAGCGUGGGGAGCAAACAGGAUUAGAUACCCUGGUAG